AUGGACACUAUUGGGGGGAGAAGGGUCUUGGGAUCCUAUAAACCCAUCACCUUACAAGGGAGAUGCAGAAUCCGCUUCGUGUCUGAUCUGCUCAAUGAUAAUGAUUCAUGGAAUUUAGGGCCACUACAGGAGUAUUUCCUUCCGGCUGAUGUGAACGAGAUAUUGAAAAUCAGGGCGUCCCCUAGGCAGGAGGACGACACCUUGGCUUGGGGUCCGGGUAAGUUCGGCAUUUUUUCGGUCAAAAGUGCAUAUCAAUUUGGUUUUGAAGAGGUUCACAGGAGCUCGGCAACGGGCUCUAGCUCGCGACCUGAUGGACGCCGCUCAUGCUGGAAGCUUAUAUGAUCAUCGGGUGUUCCUUCUACUGUCCAGAAUUUUGCUUGGCGUGUUGCUACUAACUCGUUGCCGACAUGGUGCAAUAAGCAGAGGCGAGGACUUGAAACUAGUGACCUUUGCCCUGUAUGUGCUGCUGAACCCGAGGACUGUUACCAUGCUCUCUGUCGUUGCACUUUUGCGAGAAUCCUAUGGGAAGUAAUAUCUGAGGUUUGGCCACUCCCGUGCUUGUCUACCUUGCAAAACAACGGGGAUGAGUGGCUGUUGCAUGCCCUUGAACCGUUUCAGGAAGUGGAGAGAUCUAUGUUGUUGAUCUCCAUGUGGAGGGUGUGGCAUAUCCAUAACGAGGUCGUACACCAUAAACCAACCCCGCCCAUGGAAGCUUCAAGAACAUUCUUGGUAAGCUAUUUGGACGCUCUGAUUGGUAUAAAAACAUAUCUCUCUGCUGAUCCAAGCAAAGGCAAGUCAAUCAUCACUUAUGAAAAUCUGAAUCCACUAAUGACAAGGAACAAAACUGCUACUAAGUGGUCAACUCCAAAGUCUGGAUGGGUGAAGCUCAGUACUGAUGGUUCCUUUGCUGAUGACGGAACGAGUGCUGGAAUGGUGCUACGAGAUGACAUGGGUGCCAUCAUCUUGUCCUCUUGCAGGCAAUUGUUCUCCUGUCACGAGGCACUUGAAGCUGAGUUGUGUGCAUGUAUGGAAGGUUUGUCCUUUGCCAUCCACAGAAGUGAGCCACCAGUGAUCGUGGAAAUGGAUUCAAUUGUGGCGGUGAAGUUGAUCCAAGCUUCUGAGGUUGACAGAUCCAUCUACUCGUCCAUCUUAAAGGAAAUCAAAUAUCUUAUGUAUCUUCGUGAAAGUUGUAUUACUCAUGUAAAUCGUAGCCAGAAUAAGGUUAGUGAUAGCCUAGCUAAGUUUGCUUGAAUUGAGGGUAGAACCAUGACUUGGUUGGAUUCUGGACCUCAAGAAUCCUCAGAGUUAGCUGUGAUGGAUUGUAUGAACGUGGAGUUUGAGUAA
Molecule: ribosomal RNA, 1344 nt
Filed under: Triticum aestivum (bread wheat)
Lineage: Eukaryota; Viridiplantae; Streptophyta; Magnoliopsida; Poales; Poaceae
Description: partial small subunit ribosomal RNA
Source: RNAcentral